AUUUCUCUCCCAUAUUAGUGCAG
RNAcentral lists this small nuclear RNA (23 nucleotides) under Arabidopsis thaliana (thale cress). Its description in RNAcentral is "snRNA_18409". The record is from RNAcentral. Lineage: Eukaryota; Viridiplantae; Streptophyta; Magnoliopsida; Brassicales; Brassicaceae.